RNAcentral lists this ribosomal RNA (376 nucleotides) under uncultured bacterium. Its description in RNAcentral is "bacterial SSU rRNA". It matches the Rfam family "Bacterial small subunit ribosomal RNA", at positions 524 to 898 of the family's 1533-position model. The record is from RNAcentral.
UACGUAGGUGGCAAGCGUUGUCCGGAAUUAUUGGGCGUAAAGCGCGCGCAGGCGGCUUCUUAAGUCUGAUGUGAAAGCCCACGGCUCAACCGUGGAGGGUCAUUGGAAACUGGGAGGCUUGAGUGCAGAAGAGGAGAGCGGAAUUCCACGUGUAGCGGUGAAAUGCGUAGAGAUGUGGAGGAACACCAGUGGCGAAGGCGGCUCUCUGGUCUGUAACUGACGCUGAGGCGCGAAAGCGUGGGGAGCGAACAGGAUUAGAUACCCUGGUAGUCCACGCCGUAAACGAUGAGUGCUAAGUGUUGGAGGGUUUCCGCCCUUCAGUGCUGCAGCUAACGCAUUAAGCACUCCGCCUGGGGAGUACGGCCGCAAGGCUGAA